AACGAACGCUGGCGGCAGGCCUAACACAUGCAAGUCGAGCGAGCAUUUCGGUGCUAGCGGCGGACGGGUGAGUAACGCGUGGGAACGUGCCCUUUUCUGCGGAAUAGUCCUGGGAAACUGGGGGUAAUACCGCAUACGCCCUUUUGGGGAAAGAUUUAUCGUAGAAGGAUCGGCGCGCGUUGGAUUAGGUAGUUGGUGGGGUAAUGGCCCACCAAGCAGACGAUCCAUAGCUGGUUUGAGAGGAUGAUCAGCCACACUGGGAAUGAGACACGGCCCAGACUCGUACGGGAGGCAGCAGUGGGGAAUCUUAGACAAUGGGGGCAAACGUGAUCAAGCCAUGCCGCGUGAGUGAUGAAGGCCUUAGGGUUGUAAAGCUCUUUCAGCUGGGACGAUAAUGACGGUACCAGCAGAAGAAGCCCCGGCUAACUCCGUG
Molecule: ribosomal RNA, 433 nt
Filed under: uncultured bacterium
Lineage: Bacteria
Description: partial 16S ribosomal RNA
Rfam family: Bacterial small subunit ribosomal RNA
Source: RNAcentral